UUAACUUAUUAUAUAGUACUCAGACGACACUAAACACAAGAGUUGGGGUUCUCUGGCAGGCGCUCUCCAGCAACGGGUGCCGGGGGCCCGAAGGCGGCCUGCCAAAGCAACAAGAGUAAAUUAUACAGGGUGGGAGGUCUACCCCGAAGGGCAUAUCUCUGUAAUGAUCCUUCCGCUGGUUCACCAACGGAAA
RNAcentral lists this unclassified non-coding RNA (193 nucleotides) under uncultured fungus. RNAcentral's name for it is "sequence contains ITS1". The record is from RNAcentral. Lineage: Eukaryota; Fungi.